GGGGAUGUACCGGUUUCGACGGGGGUGUGGAGGCAGGAAUAGCGGGCGGAUGCGCCUACCAUCCAAAAAAUGGGCACUUUAUAAAUUAAAGAACAACGAUUCUUUAGACCUGGUAGCCGCUUAAGGCUGCCCGUCCUCCCCGAAAGUGCUGCGGUUCGGGAUAGGGCGUCGAUUAGCAGCGUCCGUGAGUGCGUAAAGCUUUGAGCGUACCAUGCACAAUGAAGCUACCUGACCCCAAGGCGUGACGGCUUGCCUUGAGUGAUGGGAAAAGGCGAUUUGAUUCGCCGGAAUAACCGUCUGCGCCCGGAGAAGUUCCUGUUAAAGUGCUUUCGGACGGGGGUUCAACUCCCCCCAUCUCCACCA
RNAcentral lists this transfer-messenger RNA (363 nucleotides) under Oscillospiraceae. Its description in RNAcentral is "UBA2658 sp012719035 Standard tmRNA". It matches the Rfam family "transfer-messenger RNA". From Rfam's summary of the family: Bacterial tmRNA, also known as 10Sa RNA or SsrA, is named for its dual tRNA and mRNA-like properties. Its role is to liberate the mRNA from a stalled ribosome. To accomplish this part of the tmRNA is used as a reading frame that ends in a translation stop signal. The record is from RNAcentral. Lineage: Bacteria; Bacillati; Bacillota; Clostridia; Eubacteriales. RNAcentral also lists the same sequence under 2 other names.